RNAcentral lists this ribosomal RNA (273 nucleotides) under uncultured bacterium. RNAcentral's name for it is "partial 16S ribosomal RNA". It matches the Rfam family "Bacterial small subunit ribosomal RNA", at positions 547 to 796 of the family's 1533-position model. The record is from RNAcentral.
UCCUUAUUGUUCGCUCUUGAAUCGGAAUUACUGGGCGUAAAGCGUGCGCAGGCGGAUUGUUAAGCAAGAUGUGAAAUCCCCGGGCUUAACCUGGGAAUGGCAUUUUGAACUGGCAGUCUAGAGUGUGUCAGAGGGGGGUGGAAUUCCACGUGUAGCAGUGAAAUGCGUAGAUAUGUGGAGGAACACCAAUGGCGAAGGCAGCCCCCUGGGAUAACACUGACGCGCAUGUACGAAAGCGUGGGUAGCACACAGGAGGAGAUAACCGUGUAGUCC